ACCUGUUCCCAUGCCGAACACAGCAGUUAAGCUCUUCAGCGCCGAUGGUAGUCGGGUAUACCCCCGUGAGAGUAGGACGCCGCCACAU
RNAcentral lists this ribosomal RNA (88 nucleotides) under Halobacillus trueperi. The record is from RNAcentral. Lineage: Bacteria; Bacillati; Bacillota; Bacilli; Caryophanales; Bacillaceae.